This is a long non-coding RNA of Hibiscus syriacus, 292 nucleotides long. RefSeq lists it as uncharacterized. NCBI's taxonomy places the organism in Eukaryota, Viridiplantae, Streptophyta, Magnoliopsida, Malvales, Malvaceae. The transcript is spliced from 3 exons. The record is from RefSeq and is a predicted model, not a curated record.
UAUUGAUUGCCUAGAAUUUAUUCAUUUUUCAGGUUUAACUUUGCAUACCAUGCCUUUCUCAUCUGAUUUUCAUUUCCUUUUCCUCCUUGAACCAUUGAACAACAGGGAGUCCAUCCAUGUGAUAGAAGAAAAAGCAUCAGUGAAUAUUGGCCUCUGUUUCCUGCAAUUGAUUUUUCCUUAUUGACAACAAUGAGGAUAAUUUGUGGGAAGCUAACUGUAGAGAAAAGAAUGAAGAAAUUGCAACCAGGGGAAUGAAAUUCUUGAACCGGCUGUGGACACGAGAAGAGAGGGA